AUGUUGGCCGGGCGACGGUUGUCCCGGUUUAAGCGUGUAGGCUGGUUUUCCAGGCAAAUCCGGAAAACUAAGGCUGAGGCGUGAUGACGAGGCACUACGGUGCUGAAGCAACAAAUGCCCUGCUUCCAGGAAAAGCCUCUAAGCAUCAGGUAACAUCAAAUCGUACCCCAAACCGACACAGGUGGUCAGGUAGAGAAUACCAAGGCGCUUGAGAGAACUCGGGUGAAGGAACUAGGCAAAAUGGUGCCGUAACUUCGGGAGAAGGCACGCUGAUAUGUAGGUGAAGUCCCUCGCGGAUGGAGCUGAAAUCAGUCGAAGAUACCAGCUGGCUGCAACUGUUUAUUAAAAACACAGCACUGUGCAAACACGAAAGUGGACGUAUACGGUGUGACGCCUGCCCGGUGCCGGAAGGUUAAUUGAUGGGGUCAGCGCAAGCGAAGCUCUUGAUCGAAGCCCCGGUAAACGGCGGCCGUAACUAUAACGGUCCUAAGGUAGCGAAAUUCCUUGUCGGGUAAGUUCCGACCUGCACGAAUGGCGUAAUGAUGGCCAGGCUGUCUCCACCCGAGACUCAGUGAAAUUGAACUCGCUGUGAAGAUGCAGUGUACCCGCGGCAAGACGGAAAGACCCCGUGAACCUUUACUAUAGCUUGACACUGAACAUUGAGCCUUGAUGUGUAGGAUAGGUGGGAGGCUUUGAAGUGUGGACGCCAGUCUGCAUGGAGCCGACCUUGAAAUACCACCCUUUAAUGUUUGAUGUUCUAACGUUGACCCGUAAUCCGGGUUGCGGACAGUGUCUGGUGGGUAGUUUGACUGGGGCGGUCUCCUCCUAAAGAGUAACGGAGGAGCACGAAGGUUGGCUAAUCCUGGUCGGACAUCAGGAGGUUAGUGCAAUGGCAUAAGCCAGCUUGACUGCGAGCGUGACGGCGCGAGCAGGUGCGAAAGCAGGUCAUAGUGAUCCGGUGGUUCUGAAUGGAAGGGCCAUCGCUCAACGGAUAAAAGGUACUCCGGGGAUAACAGGCUGAUACCGCCCAAGAGUUCAUAUCGACGGCGGUGUUUGGCACCUCGAUGUCGGCUCAUCACAUCCUGGGGCUGAAGUAGGUCCCAAGGGUAUGGCUGUUCGCCAUUUAAAGUGGUACGCGAGCUGGGUUUAGAACGUCGUGAGACAGUUCGGUCCCUAUCUGCCGUGGGCGCUGGAGAACUGAGGGGGGCUGCUCCUAGUACGAGAGGACCGGAGUGGACGCAUCACUGGUGUUCGGGUUGUCAUGCCAAUGGCACUGCCCGGUAGCUAAAUGCGGAAGAGAUAAGUGCUGAAAGCAUCUAAGCACGAAACUUGCCCCGAGAUGAGUUCUCCCUGACUCCUUGAGAGUCCUGAAGGAACGUUGAAGACGACGACGUUGAUAGGCCGGGUGUGUAAGCGCAGCGAUGCGUUGAGCUAACCGGUACUAAUGAACCGUGAGGCUUAACCUUACAACGCCGAAGCUGUU
RNAcentral lists this ribosomal RNA (1483 nucleotides) under Escherichia coli. RNAcentral describes it as "bacterial LSU rRNA". It matches the Rfam family "Bacterial large subunit ribosomal RNA", at positions 1484 to 2925 of the family's 2925-position model. The record is from RNAcentral. Lineage: Bacteria; Pseudomonadati; Pseudomonadota; Gammaproteobacteria; Enterobacterales; Enterobacteriaceae.